UACAGAGGUCUCAAGCGUUGUUCGGAUUCAUUGGGCGUAAAGGGUGUGUAGGUGGCGCCGUAAGUCGGGUGUGAAAUUUCGAGGCUUAACCUCGAAACUGCAUUCGAUACUGCGGUGCUUGAGGACUGGAGAGGAGACUGGAAUUCAUGGUGUAGCAGUGAAAUGCGUAGAUAUCAUGAGGAAGACCAGUGGCGAAGGCGGGUCUCUGGACAGUUCCUGACACUGAGACACGAAGGCCAGGGGGGCAAACGGG
This 253-nucleotide ribosomal RNA is filed under the name uncultured bacterium. RNAcentral describes it as "partial 16S ribosomal RNA". It matches the Rfam family "Bacterial small subunit ribosomal RNA", at positions 524 to 776 of the family's 1533-position model. The record is from RNAcentral.